AUGAACGCUAGCUACAGGCUUAACACAUGCAAGUCGAGGGGCAGCAUGGUCUUAGCUUGCUAAGGCCGAUGGCGACCGGCGCACGGGUGAGUAACACGUAUCCAGCCUGCCGUCUACUCUUGGACAGCCUUCUGAAAGGAAGAUUAAUACAAGAUGGCAUCAUGAGUCCGCAUGUUCACAUGAUUAAAAGGUAUUCCGGUAGACGAUGGGGAUGCGUUCCAUUAGAUAGUAGGCGGGGUAACGGCCCACCUAGUCUUCGAUGGAUAGGGGGUUCUGAGAGGAAGGUCCCCCACAUUGGAACUGAGACACGGUCCAAACUCCUACGGGAGGCAGCAGUGAGGAAUAUUGGUCAAUGGGCGAGAGCCUGAACCAGCCAAGUAGCGUGAAGGAUGACUGCCCUAUGGGUUGUAAACUUCUUUUAUAAAGGAAUAAAGUCGGGUAUGCAUACCCGUUUGCAUGUACUUUAUGAAUAAGGAUCGGCUAACUCCGUG
This 491-nucleotide ribosomal RNA is filed under the name uncultured bacterium. RNAcentral describes it as "bacterial SSU rRNA". It matches the Rfam family "Bacterial small subunit ribosomal RNA", at positions 29 to 507 of the family's 1533-position model. The record is from RNAcentral.